RNAcentral lists this ribosomal RNA (506 nucleotides) under uncultured bacterium. RNAcentral describes it as "partial 16S ribosomal RNA". It matches the Rfam family "Bacterial small subunit ribosomal RNA", at positions 29 to 523 of the family's 1533-position model. The record is from RNAcentral.
AGUGAACGCUGGCGGUAGGCCUAACACAUGCAAGUCGAACGGCAGCACAGAGGAGCUUGCUCCUUGGGUGGCGAGUGGCGGACGGGUGAGGAAUACAUCGGAAUCUACUCUGUCGUGGGGGAUAACGUAGGGAAACUUACGCUAAUACCGCAUACGACCUACGGGUGAAAGCAGGGGACCUUCGGGCCUUGCGCGAUUGAAUGAGCCGAUGUCGGAUUAGCUAGUUGGCGGGGUAAAGGCCCACCAAGGCGACGAUCUGUAGCUGGUCUGAGAGGAUGAUCAGCCACACUGGAACUGAGACACGGUCCAGACUCCUACGGGAGGCUGCAGUGGGGAAUAUUGGACAAUGGGCGCAAGCCUGAUCCAGCCAUACCGCGUGGGUGAAGAAGGCCUUCGGGUUGUAAAGCCCUUUUGUUGGGAAAGAAAUCCAGCUGGCUAAUACCCGGUUGGGAUGACGGUACCCAAAGAAUAAGCACCGGCUAACUUCGUGCCAGCAGCCGCCGUAA